AGCUCCAAUAGCGUAUAUUAAAGUUGUUGCAGUUAAAAAGCUCGUAGUUGGAUCUCGGGUCCAGGCUCGCGGUUCGCCUCGCGGCGAUCACUGCCCGUCCUGACCUACCUCCCGGUUUUCCCUUGGUGCUCUUCGUUGAGUGCUUCGGGUGGCCGGAACGUUUACUUUGAAAAAAUUAGAGUGCUCAAAGCAGGCGGACCGCCUGAAUAGUCGUGCAUGGAAUAAUGGAAUAGGACCUCGGUUCUAUUUUGUUGGUUUUCGGAACUCGAGGUAAUGAUUAAGAGGGACAGACGGGGGCAUUCGUAUUACGGUGUUAGAGGUGAAAUUCUUGGAUCGCCGUAAGACGAACUACUGCGAAAGCAUUUGCCAAGAAUGUUUUCA
RNAcentral lists this ribosomal RNA (381 nucleotides) under uncultured eukaryote. RNAcentral's name for it is "SSU rRNA". It matches the Rfam family "Eukaryotic small subunit ribosomal RNA", at positions 587 to 972 of the family's 1831-position model. The record is from RNAcentral.